This 163-nucleotide ribosomal RNA is filed under the name Strephonema mannii. RNAcentral's name for it is "5.8S ribosomal RNA". It matches the Rfam family "5.8S ribosomal RNA". From Rfam's summary of the family: 5.8S ribosomal RNA (5.8S rRNA) is a component of the large subunit of the eukaryotic ribosome. It is transcribed by RNA polymerase I as part of the 45S precursor that also contains 18S and 28S rRNA. RNAcentral also lists the same sequence under 1 other name. The record is from RNAcentral. Lineage: Eukaryota; Viridiplantae; Streptophyta; Magnoliopsida; Myrtales; Combretaceae.
UAAACGACUCUCGGCAACGGAUAUCUCGGCUCUCGCAUCGAUGAAGAACGUAGCGAAAUGCGAUACUUGGUGUGAAUUGCAGAAUCCCGUGAACCAUCGAGUCUUUGAACGCAAGUUGCGCCCGAAGCCUUUUGGCCGAGGGCACGUCUGCCUGGGUGUCACA